Molecule: ribosomal RNA, 98 nt
Organism: Ursus americanus (American black bear)
Lineage: Eukaryota; Metazoa; Chordata; Mammalia; Carnivora; Ursidae
Source: Ensembl
GUCUACGGCCAUAACACCCUGAACAAGCCCAAUCUCAUCUGAUCUCGGAAGCUAAGCAGGGUCAGGGCUGGUUAGUACUAGAAUAGGAUGUGUAGACC